GGGGGGGGGGAUGGGUCCGGACCACAUGGGGGCCCGUGAAAUAUACAGGUUACAGUACGUCAUGAGGGGUGCCGAGUGAACCAGAUCAGGGCGCUGUCAAAACAGUAGUGGACGGUCGGAAGCGUUUAGACCAGGAAUAAACAACGAGUGCUUGAUUGGAGAAUGUCAGACUUUGAGAUAGAGAUCGGGAAACAUGGACUGGAAGUGGAAGCGAAAGGAAAGGCUUUGUUUUGGAUUGUGACGGCCACGUUUCUAACUGGAUUAGCAGUGGGGGUGUAUGUAGGAUACAAAGGCGGACAUAAGAUCGACAAAUUCAAGAAACGGUGAUGCCAUGGCCUGUAUACAUGUACAUAUGAACAUCUGCAUCGCUUACUCGUUUCUCCGACUCCUGGCUUUGUGAAGGCACUGAACUGUUCCACUUUCAUACAUGUAUUGUACAUGUGUAUAUAUGUACAAGCACACACAUGUGUCUAUACACAUAUCAAAUGUAGUGCUUUGAUCAGUUGUGAAGAAUGAAUCCUUGUUAACAAGGGGUCCUUUCCUUCCUUGAUCAUAUUUCCUUCAUCUAAACGUGAAAGAGUAAAUUCAUCAUCGUUUUUCCGCAGAGGAAGAAAGACAGGUACACAGACAUCUUGUGCUGUAUGAGAAUGCGUGUACAAGCGUGUUUGUGGUGUCUUGUGCGACUGUUUCAUGUGCCCGGAUCUUUUAGUUCAUAUUCAAUUGAAAUUUCCUUUUAUGUGAUAUGUUGCGAGUAACUUUAUAUUCUGUACAAUAAUCUUAUUUUUCCAAUGAAUAAAUAUUUUCAAUGUUUUCAUUUUUGUUAUAGUUGAUGUACAUGUAUAUAAAUCAUAGUAAAAUGAAAAUUUGA
Long non-coding RNA from Magallana angulata, 868 nucleotides. RefSeq lists it as uncharacterized. The transcript has 2 exons. The record is from RefSeq and is a predicted model, not a curated record. NCBI's taxonomy places the organism in Eukaryota, Metazoa, Mollusca, Bivalvia, Ostreida, Ostreidae.